This 24-nucleotide microRNA is filed under the name Echinops telfairi (small Madagascar hedgehog). RNAcentral describes it as "Ete-Mir-430-P1_5p* (star (passenger))". The record is from RNAcentral. Lineage: Eukaryota; Metazoa; Chordata; Mammalia; Afrosoricida; Tenrecidae.
ACUUUAACAAGGAGGCCCUUUUAC